AUUCUACUCCCUCCGUUGCACAAUACAUGCCUUCUAUUUGUCAAAAUAUAUAUGUAUCUAGACAUGUUUUAGUAUAUAGGUACAUCCAUUUUUGGACAAAUGGAAGUCAAGUAUUUUGGAACGGAGGGAGUACAAU
This is a non-coding RNA of Triticum aestivum (bread wheat), 136 nucleotides long. The record is from Rfam. NCBI's taxonomy places the organism in Eukaryota, Viridiplantae, Streptophyta, Magnoliopsida, Poales, Poaceae.